Molecule: ribosomal RNA, 976 nt
Filed under: Ligilactobacillus acidipiscis
Lineage: Bacteria; Bacillati; Bacillota; Bacilli; Lactobacillales; Lactobacillaceae
Description: bacterial SSU rRNA
Rfam family: Bacterial small subunit ribosomal RNA
Source: RNAcentral
GGGGUGCUAUACUGCAAGUCGAACGCAAUCUUUGACUAAUGAGUGCUUGCACUCAGCAGUCAAAGUGCGAGUGGCGAACGGGUGAGUAACACGUGGGCAAUCUGCCCAAAAGUGGGGGAUAACACUUGGAAACAGGUGCUAAUACCGCAUCAACCGGCUGACCGCAUGGUCGGCCGGGCAAAGACGGCGUCAGCUGUCGCUUUUGGAUGAGCCCGCGGCGUAUUAACUAGUUGGUAAGGUAACGGCUUACCAAGGUGAUGAUACGUAGCCGAACUGAGAGGUUGAUCGGCCACAUUGGGACUGAGACACGGCCCAAACUCCUACGGGAGGCAGCAGUAGGGAAUCUUCCACAAUGGACGCAAGUCUGAUGGAGCAACGCCGCGUGUAUGAAGAAGGUCUUCGGAUCGUAAAAUACUGUUGUCAGAGAAGAACACGUGAUAGAGUAACUGCUAUGGCGCUGACGGUAUCUGACCAGCAAGUCACGGCUAACUACGUGCCAGCAGCCGCGGUAAUACGUAGGUGGCAAGCGUUGUCCGGAUUUAUUGGGCGUAAAGGGAACGCAGGCGGUCUUUUAAGUCUGAUGUGAAAGCCUUCGGCUUAACCGGAGAAGUGCAUUGGAAACUGGAAGACUUGAGUGCAGAAGAGGAGAGUGGAACUCCAUGUGUAGCGGUGAAAUGCGUAGAUAUAUGGAAGAACACCAGUGGCGAAAGCGGCUCUCUGGUCUGUAACUGACGCUGAGGUUCGAAAGCGUGGGGAGCGAACAGGAUUAGAUACCCUGGUAGUCCACGCUGUAAACGAUGAAUGCUAGGUGUUGGAGGGUUUCCGCCCUUCGGUGCCGCAGCUAACGCACUAAGCAUUCCGCCUGGGGAGUACGAUCGCAAGAUUGAAACUCAAAGGAAUUGACGGGGGCCCGCACAAGCGGUGGAGCAUGUGGUUUAAUUCGAAGCAACGCGAAGAACCUUACCAGGUCUUGACA